RNAcentral lists this non-coding RNA (74 nucleotides) under unclassified sequences. Its description in RNAcentral is "freshwater-2 RNA". It matches the Rfam family "freshwater-2 RNA". From Rfam's summary of the family: Aquatic, esp. fresh water. No recognized genes The record is from RNAcentral.
UAUCAGCAAAGUCUGAUUUACGCGGUAUACCAACCGCGUAGUGGGCUAGAACCCGCAUAAGGAGAAACAAAAUG